This is a long non-coding RNA of Orbicella faveolata, 1504 nucleotides long. The record is from RefSeq and is a predicted model, not a curated record. Lineage: Eukaryota; Metazoa; Cnidaria; Anthozoa; Scleractinia; Merulinidae.
GUAAUACUCCAAUUUCCCUAUCUCAGUGGAAGUGUGAUCAUAUUUUUGUUUGUGGUUUUUGUGCUGCAGGUGAAAGCUGGGGCCAUGCUAGUACCAUUCGGAUUGUGUUGUACUGGGAGGACAAUCAGAGAUUUGCAAACUUGUACAAGUCACCUUCUCGACAGCAAAUGACAGUUGCGUUUCAAAUCACGGCUGAUGGAGUACGUGACUGUUUUACUAACUACAAAGUACGCAAACACUGUGAAAGGAGAGAUAGUCCGCAGGCUCAGGAAAACCAUCAAAGUUCAGCUCAUGAUAUUCAAGUGACAGGCAUGGAAAUGACAAACUUCAAUGUACGGAAAAGACGAUUUGAAGAGCUCACUUCAACAGAAUCCCAGAUAGGCAAUACUGCCGAGAAGUGAUAAAGAACUUUCUGUGCUUUCACUUUUUACAACCUUUAAGCCAUCUUGAAAGAGUUUUCGGGGCUAAAUUAUGCCCGCUCUACCCAGUUUUCUUGUUGCCAACUACAUUACAUUGCAUUGCAAAAAGUUUCCGACUAUUUUAAUUUCGUACAAAAAAUAGUGUUCAAAAAUAAAACUGUUAAAAAAAGUGUCUGAAGUAUUUACAGUAGUACAGUAUAAAAUUUUUAGUUAACUCCAAAAUUCUUAGAUUCCAUUAUGAGGCAAACUCUAGUUGAAACACCUUCAUAGAUGUUGCCUCAGUCUUACUUGCGUUUUGCAGGCGUAAAUUUGCUUUAGCUGAGUCAUUUUGUCCGAGCUACAGUUUAAAUCCACGCAUUUUGAUAAAAUAAAAGCAUUCAACCAUACCUUGAAUUGGGGUUUAAUUGUAUACAGUUCAAAACAACAUGGAGAGGAAAGUAGUACCAGGGGGCACUUCCUAUAAUGGACUAUAGCAGGAGGCCCUGCCCGAAAGGGGUAUCAUUUUAGAGCUAGGGCUACAUAAAAGGGUAGGGACUUCACAUGGUGAAGUCUAGAAAGAGCAGGUAAAACUUUGCAUAGUUCCUAGACCUCAAAUUAUAUUUCGCCAUGGUCAAUCGUUUCGGGUCAUGUGGUCCGGGGCGAAAAGUGUGGCCUAGACAAAAACCCGAAAAUUGAGUCUCAAUUUUUGACUUAGCCAAUUUUAUGCUAUUUUGUGCCAUUUUGGCCUUAUGUGCCUUAGAACUGAUGAAGAUGAAUUUCAUGCCAUGGAAGGGAAUUCUCUGGGCAUAACUGCUAGAGAAAAGCAAUUUAAACUCCUUGCUUUUGUCUUAAUGUUAACUGGUUAGGUGAAAUGGCUCAUCUGGAUCCAAACGGACAUUAUCGAGUCAGAAGCAUGGCACGGGCAAAUACUGAUUACUCAAGAUAUUUAAGCCCUUGAAGAUUUCUAUUACAUGUAACCGUACUGCUUGAACAAAGAAACCAAAAAUAUCCAAAAUUUCUUAAUUUUCGGGUUUAAGAGUAAGCUAGAGUAGCUUUCUAAAUCAAUUAUUUAACUAUAGUUUGACCACUAUGUAAUAAACAAGAAU